Molecule: ribosomal RNA, 253 nt
Filed under: uncultured bacterium
Lineage: Bacteria
Description: partial 16S ribosomal RNA
Rfam family: Bacterial small subunit ribosomal RNA
Source: RNAcentral
UACGUAGGUGGCAAGCGAUACUCGGAAUCACUAGGCGUAAAGCGCAGGUAGGCGGUUUGGUAAGUCUUUUGUGAAAGCUCCCGGCUCAACUGGGAGAGGCCAAGGGAAACUACCGGACUAGAGUGUGGUAGGGGAUACUGGAAUUCCUGGUGUAGCGGUGAAAUGCGCAGAUAUCAGGAGGAACACCGGUGGCGAAGGCGGUUCUCUGGGCAUUACCUGACGCUGAGGAGCGAAAGUGUGGGGAGCGAACAGG